GACGAACGCUGGCGGCGUGCCUAAUACAUGCAAGUUGAGCGCUGAAGGUUGUUCCUUGUUCCGACUGGAUGAGCAGCGUACGUGUGAGUAACGCGUGGUGCAUCUGCCUUUGAGCUGGGGACAACAUUUUGAAACUAAUGCUAAUACCGCAUAAAAACUUUAAACACAUGUUUUAAGUUUUAAAUAUGCUAUUGCAUCACUCACAGCUUAUCCCGCGUUGUAUUAGCUAGUUGGUGAGGUAAAGGCUCACCAAGGCGAUGAUACAUAGCCGACCUGAGAGGGUGAUCGGCCACAUUGGGAAUGAGACACGGCGCAAACUCCUACGGGAGGCAGCAGUAGGGAAUCUUCGGCAAGAGACGAAAGGCUGACCGAGCAACGCCGCGUGAGUGAAGAAGGGUGUCGGAUCGUAAGAAUCUGUUGGUAGAGAAGAACGUUGGUGAGAGUGGAAAGCUCAUCAAGUGACGGUAACUACCCAGAAAGGGACGGCUAACUACGUG
RNAcentral lists this ribosomal RNA (497 nucleotides) under uncultured bacterium. RNAcentral describes it as "partial 16S ribosomal RNA". It matches the Rfam family "Bacterial small subunit ribosomal RNA", at positions 28 to 507 of the family's 1533-position model. The record is from RNAcentral.